This is a long non-coding RNA of Camelus dromedarius (Arabian camel), 418 nucleotides long. RefSeq lists it as uncharacterized. The record is from RefSeq and is a predicted model, not a curated record. The transcript has 4 exons. NCBI's taxonomy places the organism in Eukaryota, Metazoa, Chordata, Mammalia, Artiodactyla, Camelidae.
GCCGGCGAGGAGGAAGAGGAAAAGUUCUGUUGCUUUCAUUGAAACUUGUGAGGAUGUCUCUGAGAAGGAUUGCCCCACAAGGAUAGGAGCUCAGCAUGGGGUACUUGGGGUAUUCCAGAUGCCAUCCGAGUAGUGGAGAGCACUGGAUUGACAGGCUGGUUAAUCAUGAUGCCAUGUCCAGUGGAGCAUUGUCUCAAAGAAGGCUAAUACAGAACCUCAGAUUGUGAAAGAGGCACCCACGGGCAGUUGAACAACACGCUCUCAGGGGUUCAUCCUGUGAUUACAUCCCUGUAAUGAAGAGGCAAAAGGUGAGGAUGCGACAAUGGGAUAUUCGGCAAUGGAAUGAAAUCAGGAUUUGAUCUAAUGCAACAUGACUUGCUCACAGCACAGGUAGAAUAUCAAAUGAUCCAUGUGAAAU